This 355-nucleotide long non-coding RNA is filed under the name Manihot esculenta (cassava). RNAcentral describes it as "long non-coding RNA (MESC_LNC001415)". The record is from RNAcentral. Lineage: Eukaryota; Viridiplantae; Streptophyta; Magnoliopsida; Malpighiales; Euphorbiaceae.
UGUCGGUGCACCGUGUGGCCUUGGAGCGGAUGACUUCGGCUGGGUGUGGUGAGCUUGAGGGUUCAGUGUUUAGCUUUUUCUGCCUAGAAUUGGCACAAGGUUUAGUUUUGGAUUGCGGUGAAGUUGUUUCAGCAUUAGCUUUCUUUCUCAGUGUAGUGUUCCAAUAGUUCUUGAUUUCAUUGUCUGUUCGCCCAGGUAGCCUUCCAGCUAUUAGAGACCAUCUGCAUACCAAACCAAAUAGUUAAAAAAAAAAGUACCUACAACGAAAUUAAAGCACAAGGAAACAACCCGUGGUUUAACAGAAAAUAAUAUGUGUAAAAAAGAAAAACACAAGAAGAGACAGAGGGGGAACCUG